This 292-nucleotide ribosomal RNA is filed under the name uncultured bacterium. RNAcentral describes it as "partial 16S ribosomal RNA". The record is from RNAcentral.
GGACUACACGGGUUUCUAAUCCUGUUCGCUCCCCUAGCUUUCGCACCUCAGCGUCAGUUACUCGCCAGGACACUGCCUUCGCCUUUGGUAUUCCUCCGGAUAUCUACGCAUUUCACCACUCCACCCGGAAUUCUAUGUCCCUCUCGAGUCCUCAAGUCCGACAGUCUUUGAAGGCCUUGCCCAGUUGAGCCGGGCAUUGUCACUCCAAACUUACCAGACCGCCUGCGUGCCCUUUACGCCCAGUAACUCCGGACAACGCUCGCCCCCUACGUAUUACCGCGGCUGCUGGCAC